GACGAACGCUGGCGGCGUGCUUAACACAUGCAAGUCGAACGGAAAGGCCUUUUCGGAGGUACUCGAGUGGCGAACGGGUGAGUAACACGUGGGUGAUCUGCCCUGCACUCUGGGAUAAGCCUGGGAAACUGGGUCUAAUACCGGAUAGGACCGCACUUUAGUGUGUGUGGUGGCAAGUUUUUUCGGUGUAGGAUGAGCCCGCGGCCUAUCAGCUUGUUGGUGGGGUAAUGGCCUACCAAGGCGGCGACGGGUAGCCGGACUGAGAGGUUGGUCGGCCACAUUGGGACUGAGAUACGGCCCAGACUCCUACGGGAGGCAGCAGUGGGGAAUAUUGCCCAAUGGGCGCAAGCCGGAUGCAGCGACGCCGCGUGGGGGAUGACGGCCUUCGGGUUGUAAACUCCUUUCGCCAGGGACGAAGCGUUUUGUGACGGUACCUGGAGAAGAAGCACCGGCUAACUACGUG
RNAcentral lists this ribosomal RNA (463 nucleotides) under uncultured bacterium. Its description in RNAcentral is "partial 16S ribosomal RNA". It matches the Rfam family "Bacterial small subunit ribosomal RNA", at positions 28 to 507 of the family's 1533-position model. The record is from RNAcentral.